Molecule: ribosomal RNA, 301 nt
Filed under: uncultured bacterium
Lineage: Bacteria
Description: partial 16S ribosomal RNA
Rfam family: Bacterial small subunit ribosomal RNA
Source: RNAcentral
CAGCCGCCGCGGGAAUACCGAGGGUGCGAGCGUUAAUCGGAUUUACUGGGCGUAAAGCGUGCGUAGGCGGCUUCUUAAGUCGGAUGUGAAAUCCCUGAGCUUAACUUAGGAAUUGCAUUCGAUACUGGGAAGCUAGAGUAUGGGAGAGGAUGGUAGAAUUCCAGGUGUAGCGGUGAAAUGCGUAGAGAUCUGGAGGAAUACCGAUGGCGAAGGCAGCCAUCUGGCCUAACACUGACGCUGAGGUACGAAAGCAUGGGGAGCAAACAGGAUUAGAUACCCCUGUAGUCCCUGUCUCUUAUAC